GUAGGGUGCAAGCGUUGUCCGGAAUUAUUGGGCGUAAAGAGCUCGUAGGCGGUUUGUCGCGUCUGCUGUGAAAACUCGGGGCUUAACCCCGGGCCUGCAGUGGGUACGGGCAGACUAGAGUGCGGUAGGGGAGACUGGAAUUCCUGGUGUAGCGGUGAAAUGCGCAGAUAUCAGGAGGAACACCGGUGGCGAAGGCGGGUCUCUGGGCCGUAACUGACGCUGAGGAGCGAAAGCGUGGGGAGCAAACAGGAUUAGAUACCCUGGUAGUCCACGCCGUAAACGUUGGGCGCUAGGUGUGGGGCUCUUUCCACGAGUUCCGUGCCGCAGCAAACGCAUUAAGCGCCCCGCCUGGGGAGUACGGCCGCAAGGCUA
Molecule: ribosomal RNA, 372 nt
Filed under: uncultured bacterium
Lineage: Bacteria
Description: bacterial SSU rRNA
Rfam family: Bacterial small subunit ribosomal RNA
Source: RNAcentral